ACAUAAAAUCGAUGAUGUGCCAGCACCAUAUGAUGUUGAGCAGGAGGAACAACCCCUUGUACCUUAGAUAGUAAAAACACCUCAUGUUAGAAGGUCAAUUAAAACACUUCAUUCUUCUAGUAGAUAUCUAGUUCUGAGUAUGUGAAAGUUACUGAAGAGGGCCAGAGAGUUUCCAAGAAAUAUAGACUUAUAAAGGAAAAGUUUAGUUGAUGAAUGCAAUUCAGCAAAAGAUGAGUUUUUGUAGAGAAAUUAACAUUG
RNAcentral lists this long non-coding RNA (258 nucleotides) under Carica papaya (papaya). RNAcentral's name for it is "long non-coding RNA (CPAP_LNC007861)". Lineage: Eukaryota; Viridiplantae; Streptophyta; Magnoliopsida; Brassicales; Caricaceae. The record is from RNAcentral.